Molecule: long non-coding RNA, 1446 nt
Filed under: Chrysemys picta bellii (western painted turtle)
Lineage: Eukaryota; Metazoa; Chordata; Testudines; Emydidae
Description: lncRNA (ENSCPBG00000021410.1)
Source: RNAcentral
UGUUUUGGGACUUUUGAGUUCUGUUUUUGACAAACUGGGUUGGCUGCCUCGUAAAGAGCGAAUUAAAGGAUUUUGGACUGAGAAGGUGACUGGAAACUGAGACUGGAGUUCUUAAAGGGGCUCUCAUGAGGGGAAAUUGAGGUAGGUGGCAGACACUGCACUAGAGAUCAUCCAAUAGAAGGUCAAUAGCGUAGGAUCUAUUCCAGGUAAAGUACCUGACUAGGUAAUAAAUCAGACUGAGGAAGGAGUGUUUGAGGCCUGCAAAGAUUGGGUGACCCAAGUGCUCUCUUCUAGCUCCUAUUUUUGCAUCCUUUGUUUUGGACCUUUGUCCCACAUUUUGGCCAUGGCAAGCAAGGAGGUAUGUCAUAGCUGGAAUAUUGAUGGGAGGGGGGUGUCUAUUUUUCCUGGAAUGUUGAUGGGAGUGGGGUGUCUAUUUUUCCUGCAACCCCUCAUGGCAACUACAGCAUGUAACACAAGGACUCUGAAGCAUCACCAGGAAGCCAGUUACCUGCCUGGUGGACCAGGAGUCUGAUGGGGCCUAGCAAAUCCUAAAUUCUCAGGAGCUGGUACCUGUGUUGCUUCUCUGUUUAGCAGCUACAGAUGAUGCAAAGUCGUUGCAUGUAAAUUUACCAGGUAAAUUAUUAAAAAUUGGAAGAACUGCAGCAGGGAACGUGACCUGAAUUAACCCUUAGCAAGCCAGAAGGAGUACGCUGGAAAGCCGAUCCUGCUCUAUAGGAGGUGCUGUAGGUGCAAUUGUAGGUGCUGUAGGCCAGGGGGUGGGAGCAGGAGAGCUGAGGCCUGCAGCCAGAUGAUUUUCCCUGCUAAAGUCAGUGCGGGUAUCUCCCCUCCAUCAUCACCUCCCUGUAUCGCAGCUGGCUCAGGACAGCAGCGAAGGAGUUAAGGGCUGGUGCUGGAGAAGGCCGGCUGUCAGGAGGGAGCAUGUGCAGUUUGCAACCGCAUCCAUGCUACGGGUUAGAAUCACUGGAACAUUUAAUCUCCAGCAGCCGCCGCCGCCUCGAGCCAUCCAUGGAGGCGAGGAAGACAAUGCGCGGCUGAGCGGAGGAGGAGGGAGAGGCAGGAGCGAGGCAGAGCGUGGCCGCAGCAGCUGCUCUGGAGCGCGCUCUCCCCAUCUUCGCCAGGAUUUGAGAGAUUGACAGGGAUCAGCUGCUGCCACCAGCUACAGGAUGUACUGGACAAGACACCAGAAGUGAUUGGGAAGGUGUGGGCCCUGGAAUGGGAAAGAGACAGACAUUAAGAGGCAAUUACACAAUGUAGGUUUGGGGUCUUGCUUGUAUCUUAAAGUGUAUUCUUAAAAACAUGAAUAUAUAUAUUUAUAUUAUUAUAAAAUUUAUUCUCACUUAUUUUGGUGAAUAUCCUUAAAAAUUUAAACGUAGUGAUGAUUGAUUUAAAAAUAAAUCUUUGAAUAAGGAACUGGGAACUGUGAAU